RNAcentral lists this ribosomal RNA (245 nucleotides) under uncultured bacterium. RNAcentral describes it as "partial 16S ribosomal RNA". It matches the Rfam family "Bacterial small subunit ribosomal RNA", at positions 524 to 768 of the family's 1533-position model. The record is from RNAcentral.
UACGUAGAUGGCGAGCGUUAUCCGGAUUUAUUGGGCGUAAAGAGGGCGCAGACGGUUUUUCAAGUCGGAUGUAAAAUAUCCCAGCUUAACUGGGAGGGAUCAUUCGAUACUGUUAAACUAGAGGACAACAGAGGAAGGUAGAAUUCCCGGUGUAGUGGUGAAAUGCGUAGAUAUCGGGAGGAAUACCAGUGGCGAAGGCGGCCUUCUGGGUUGUUUCUGACGUUCAGGCCCAAAGGCGUGGGGAG